RNAcentral lists this ribosomal RNA (405 nucleotides) under uncultured bacterium. RNAcentral describes it as "bacterial SSU rRNA". It matches the Rfam family "Bacterial small subunit ribosomal RNA", at positions 29 to 413 of the family's 1533-position model. The record is from RNAcentral.
AACGAACGCUGGCGGCGUGGAUAAGACAUGCAAGUCGAACGCUGAUUUCAGGGUAGCAAUAUUCUGGAGUCGGAGUGGCGCAAGGGUGCGUAACACGUGGGUAAUUUGCCAUGAAGCCCGGAAUAACUCGCUGAAAGGCGAGCUAAUACCGGAUGUGAUCUUCGGGAGGCAUCUCCUGAACCUUAAAGCUGGGACCGUAAGGCCUGGCACUUCUUGAUAAGCCCGCGGCCUAUCAGCUAGUUGGUGAGGUAACGGCUCACCAAGGCUAAGACGGGUAGCUGGUCUGAGAGGACGACCAGUCACACUGGAACUGAGACACGGUCCAGACACCUACGGGUGGCAGCAGUCGAGAAUUUUUCUCAAUGGGCGAAAGCCUGAAGGAGCGACGCCGCGUGGGGGAGUGAA